This 484-nucleotide ribosomal RNA is filed under the name uncultured bacterium. RNAcentral's name for it is "partial 16S ribosomal RNA". It matches the Rfam family "Bacterial small subunit ribosomal RNA", at positions 38 to 507 of the family's 1533-position model. The record is from RNAcentral.
GGGGGGGGGGGGGGGGGGGGGCGGGGGAGGCGGGGCGGGCGGGUGAGGGGAGCUUGCGCCUGGAUUCAGCGGCGGACGGGUGAGUAAUGCCUAGGAAUCUGCCUGGUAGUGUGGGAUAACGUCCGGCAACGGGCGCUCAUACCGCAUACGUCCUGAGGGAGCAAGUGGGGGAUCUUCGGACCUCACGCUAUCAGGUUAGCCUAGGUCGGAUUAGCUAGUUGGUGGGGUAAAGGCCUACCAAGGCGACGAUCCGUAACUGGUCUGAGAGGAUGAUCAGUCACACUGGAACUGAGACACGGUCCAGACUCCUACGGGAGGCAGCAGUGGGGAAUAUUGGACAAUGGGCGAAAGCCUGAUCCAGCCAUGCCGCGUGUGUGAAGAAGGUCUUCGGAUUGUAAAGCACUUUAAGUUGGGAGGAAGGGCAGUAAGUUAAUACCUUGCUGUUUUGACGUUACCAACAGAAUAAGCACCGGCUAACUUCGUG